RNAcentral lists this ribosomal RNA (618 nucleotides) under Xanthomonas citri pv. citri. Its description in RNAcentral is "partial 23S ribosomal RNA". It matches the Rfam family "Bacterial large subunit ribosomal RNA", at positions 1263 to 1867 of the family's 2925-position model. The record is from RNAcentral. Lineage: Bacteria; Pseudomonadati; Pseudomonadota; Gammaproteobacteria; Lysobacterales; Lysobacteraceae.
GUGAGGGUUGCUGGAGGUAUCAGAAGUGCGAAUGCUGACAUAAGUAACGAUAAAGCGGGUGAAAAGCCCGCUCGCCGGAAGACCAAGGGUUCCUGUCCAACGUUAAUCGGGGCAGGGUGAGUCGACCCCUAAGGCGAGGCCGAAAGGCGUAGUCGAUGGGAAACAGGUUAAUAUUCCUGUACUUGGUGUUACUGCGAAGGGGGGACGGAGAAGGCUAUGUUAGCCGGGCGACGGUUGUCCCGGUUUAAGCAUGUAGGCUGGUUAUCCAGGCAAAUCCGGAUAAUCAAGGCUGAGGUGUGAUGACGAGGCACUACGGUGCUGAAGUAACAAAUGCCCUGCUUCCAGGAAAAGCCUCUAAGCAUCAGGUAACAUUGAAUCGUACCCCAAACCGACACAGGUGGUCAGGUAGAGAAUACCAAGGCGCUUGAGAGAACUCGGGUGAAGGAACUAGGCAAAAUGGUGCCGUAACUUCGGGAGAAGGCACGCUGGUGUGUAGGUGAAGUCCCUGCGGAUGGAGCUGAGACCAGUCGAAGAUACCAGCUGGCUGCAACUGUUUAUUAAAAACACAGCACUGUGCAAACACGAAAGUGGACGUAUACGGUGUGACGCCUGCCCGGU